RNAcentral lists this ribosomal RNA (375 nucleotides) under uncultured bacterium. RNAcentral's name for it is "bacterial SSU rRNA". It matches the Rfam family "Bacterial small subunit ribosomal RNA", at positions 523 to 898 of the family's 1533-position model. The record is from RNAcentral.
AUACGUAGGGAGCGAGCGUUGUCCGGAAUUACUGGGCGUAAAGGGUGCGUAGGCGGCUAGGCAAGUCAGAUGUGAAAUCCCCGGGCUUAACUCGGGUGGUGCAUUUGAAACUGCUUAGCUUGAGUGCAGGAGAGGAAAGCGGAAUUCCUAGUGUAGCGGUGAAAUGCGUAGAUAUUAGGAGGAACACCAGUGGCGAAGGCGGCUUUCUGGACUGUAACUGACGCUGAGGCACGAAAGCGUGGGGAGCAAACAGGAUUAGAUACCCUGGUAGUCCACGCUGUAAACGAUGGAUACUAGGUGUGGGGGAGAUACAACCUCCGUGCCGGAGCAAACGCAAUAAGUAUCCCGCCUGGGGAGUACGGUCGCAAGGCUGAA